GAUGAUGCUAAAAGAUUUAUGCUUGAUUGGCCAACAAGGUUUAGCAUAAUCAAAGGGGUAGCUAGAGGACUUGUGUACCUCCACCAUGAUUCUAGAAUGACGAUAAUUCACAGAGAUCUCAAAGCAAGCAAUAUCUUGUUGGAUGCGGAGAUGAGACCCAAAAUAUCAGAUUUUGGCAUGGCAAGGAUCUUUGGUGACAACCAGCAACAAGAAAAUACUAGGCAUUUUGUUGGGACAUAGUGAGUAUUAAUUCCUGCACUGGACUAAACAUGCUUAAAAACUCUUUAUGUGCUUCAACUAAUUAAUUCUUGUACACUUACUUGUGGAACUAUUCAAACAACGGCUACAUGUCACCCGAAUAUGCGAUGGAAGGCAUUUUUCGGCCAAGUCCGACACAUAUAGCUAUGGGGUCUUGCUACUGGAGAUCGUAAGUGGGUUGAAGAUGAGCUCACCUCAACAUUUCCCAAACCUUAUAGAUUAUGUAAGUACUACCAAAUGCUUUGAAUUUGGCCUGCUCAUGUACUCUUAUAUUUUGAUAUAGAGGGAGUACAACAUAGCGAGUGUAGGUACUAACUUAUUAUCGACCAUGUUUCAGGCAUGGAACUUACUGAAAGAAGGAAACUCGAAGGAUUUCCUAGAUACUGUGCUGCUGAACAGCUGCUCGCUGCAUCAAGUGUCGUUGUGCAUUCAUAUCGCAUUAUCGUGCGUUCAGGGCAGCCCGAGUGGCAAGCCACUCAUGUCGCUAGUAGUCUCUAUGCCGGAAAACGAGGCCAUGCCACUCACGAUGCCAAGGCAGCCUUCGUAUUUCGUUGGAAGGAGACAUGAAGCGGAAGAAGCGAGGGAGGGCUCUGUUAACAGCGCGGGCCUGACGACGCUAGUAGGACGCUAGAUGCUCUGCCUAGCAUCAGCUAUGCUUCUCUGCAAUGUGGUGACCUGAGUGCCCUGGAACAUCAAAGGAAGCAGAUUACCGUUGACUGCCAAGUGGGUUUCAGUAACCAGCUGCAGGUGGUGCUCCAACGGUCGGUUUAAAAUUAGGGUCAAUUCCAUUUUCCCCCCUAAUCUUGCCCCAGUCUCAGCUUUACCCCUAAAAAAAGCAUGUGCUCAACUUUGCCCCUCUUUCGUCUGGUGCCACUUCAGAAAUACCCCUCCACGCCGUUUCCGUCCAGUCAAAGUGGUUUGACCGUUUUAGGGACAAUUUUGGGACAAGUUUGCCCCUACUUACAUGUGGGGGGCUGACCGAACAGUUAUCUCUCUCGGUUUUCUUCUUCCUCUCGACGCUAAGAACAAAGUGUAGGAGGAGGCGGCUGCUCAGGCGAUUUCGACAGCUCGGUGCUGGAGAGCUAGGAAAGGAAGAUGGCAUCCAUGUUCUCGACGGCUCAGUGCUUGGCGACUUCAGCCGCGGAGGACGAGGUUAGUAAAGUCUGCAUAUUUGGGGAUUUCAGAUCUAGGGUUUGUGCGGAUUUGGGAUUUUUUAGCCAUGUGCAUCCGAUUUUGUUUGUAGGUGGAUGGUUGCGGCAUUGUGCAGUUUAGUUCAGAGCAUUUCAUUCCCAAUCCCAUCUUCUGUGGCCUUGAGGAGCGCUCGAAGCAUAGAUGCUCAGGGCAUGGGCUAGUUCCGGCUCGCCGUGUAGCUUGGGGAGGAGCAAGCACUUGUAGACAUUUUUGGGGUUGUCCAGUUGAUGUAAGUGCUAUAUUUCCCUCAAUUUGAUAUAUUUUUUGUCGAAUUGAUGCUAAGGUUUCAGUUUGACAUUAUUUUUGAACUAUGCUUUUGCAGCUUCCCGAUGAAUGUGAUUGGGUUGUAUGGAUUGACCCCCCUCCUACUGACUAUGUUGGGCUUGCUUUUGAGGAUUUACAUGCUACCCUUGAACACAGUUGGAUCAAAGCAAGCAAUCUGGAGAGGAGGGUUGUGGAUCUUACCACUAAAAACAAGAAGUUGAAGCAAAAGUUGAAGAAAAAGAAUGAGCUGAUGGAAACAAUGUGCUUUGUCAUUGUUCUUGGCAUAAGCAUUGUGGCUAGUCUUGUUUCUGUGUGGUCAAAUUAGGCUAUUGAAGUGUUUGUUGAUGUAGGUUAUGUUGUUAUGUUUUGGAGCCUUUAUGUAAUGGAGCCUUUAUAUAAUGGUGUGAACUAUGAAAUUGUAGUAGAUGUUUUGGAGCCUUUAUGUUAUGUUCUGGAGCCUUUAUGUUCUGGAGCCUUUAUGAAAUGUCCAUUUAUAUAAUGGUUAUGUUGUUAAUGUGGUUUAAAUCCUGUAUGAAUGCACAUUGGGGUACUUUUGGCUAGUGAUGUUUCCAUGUGGUAAAUAUGAGCACAAAUAUAUAUCAAUCCAGGGGCAAAUAUGAGCACACAAAUAUAGCACAAGGGCAAAUAUGAGCACACGAGUGUAGCACAUGGACAAAUAGGAGCACAGAAGUGUAGCACAGUGACAAAUAUGAGCAUAGAAGUGUAGCACAGGGCAAAUAUGAGCACAUUACACAGGAGUUCACAACAGUUUGACAACAUGCAAAGCAACACACAUCAGUUAACACAUUACAUCUAACAUAGCAGUUCAUCACUCUAGUUGAACAGAACCAACAUUAAGCUGAUCACACUAGUUUGGCCCUCUUGCUCCUAGUGUUGGCAGCAGGAUUUGCAACUUUGCUCCUUGUGCUGACAGCAGAGUUGCCGCCUUUCGCCUUCUUCUAUGGUGAUCCCCACCUAGUUCGUCUCUCAGCAGCUCUUUUAGUACAUUUCUUUGGACUGAGAAGCAUUAAACAAUCAAGAUGAGUACGAAAUAAUGAAGUUACACAAAGAAUCCAUGAACAUGUAGUAGAAAACAUACCUGACAAGUGCUAUUGGAGAGCUUGGAGCUGGGGCAGAGCUUGGAGCAGUUGGUGGAGAGCUUGGAGCUGGUGGAGAGCUUGGAGUAGUUGGUAGAGAGGUUGUAGCAGAUGGUGGAGAGCUUGGAGCAAUUGCAAGAGCAUUUUCUGGAGCAUUUUCUGCACCCCAAUGCUCAUCUUCUCCAAAUGCAAGAUCAAUUGACUCUUUGCAAUGGGUGCCUAUGUGACCAAGUCUGCCACAUCUACUGCAUUUCUUUUGCCUUCCUCCAAGACCUUUUCCUUCUGCCUGUUCCCUUAUCCUAGUUUUCCUUGGUCUUCCAGGUGGUCUAUUUUGCACUAGUGCACACAGUUUAAACCCAGUAUCAACAAUGUCCCACUGCUGCUUCCCCUCCAUUGCAGGCAAAUUCUCUGCAUAAGUAAGAUUGAAUCUAUGCACGGAGUAAAAUUCAUGCACAUACUGAUCAAUCUCACUUGCUGGACCUCUGAGUGAAGUAAUGAAGUAUAAUGCAUGAAUGCAUGGUUGUCCAGUGAUUUGCCAUUUUCUGCAGCUACAAGUUUGUGCUUGCAGAUCAACAGGAUACCUCCACUCCCUCUUCUCUUUAUCAAUUGCAGUCACCUCUGCCUCAUGAGUACUUCUCUUAACAAUGCUCAUAUCUAAGGUCUUUGAUUUUGCCAUUAACUGUUUCAUCACUUUGGGGACUAUGAUAUGCCCUCCAUAAGUGCCAGCAGAAAUGCUUUGCCUUAGAUCAAAUUUCUCCAUUAAGACUUGCCUAAUUUUGUCUAGCAGGUCUACAAUGUGUAGUCCUUUCCAAUUUCUGAUUUUGGAAUUGAAAGACUCUGCAAGGUUAUUGUUCACAUAAUCUAACUUGCACUUCUCAUUGAACAGUGCCCUGGCCCAUAUCUUGCUGUGAUGUUCAUCCAGAUAAUCUUUUACAUCUGGCUUGCUAUACAACUGCCUGAUAUGGUAAUUGUGUUUCUUUAAGCUAAAUGUUAGGGAACAGGGCCACAAGUUCUCAUCAAAAAAUUUCCCUUUAAACUUCUUGGUGAAGUUUGCAGCUAAGUGCCUCAUGCAUUCUCUAUGCUCUACUCCAAGGAAUACAUCAUCUACAGCUGCCUCUAAUCCUUUACAUGCAUCAGUGUGUAUGACUAGACCAUCUGGGUGGCCUAUCAGGUUUUUCAAGUGCUCAAAGAACCAUGUCCAACUCUCCAGGUUCUCUACCUCUAGCACACCAUAUGCAACUGGAAAUAUCCAGUUGUUUGCAUCUACAGCACAGGCACUGACUAGUUGUCCUUUGAACCUACCAUUGAGUGCAGUGGCAUCUACCGCCAGAUAUGGCCUACAACCUUCUAAAAAACCCUUCCAGCAUGCCUUAAAUGACACAAACACUCUCCUAAAGCACUCUUUGGACCUGCUCUGACCAUUCUUUUCAAACUGAACAGUGUGCCUAUCAAUGUGAACUACACUACCAGGUGAUGCUUUCUCUACCUCAGCCUUGAAUGUGUACAAUAAUUGAAAACUGUCAGUCCACUUACCAUAGAUGUUGUCAAUGGCCAUCUGCUUACCAUAAAAUACUCUCAUGUAUGGCAGCUGCAAUCCAUACUUCUUCUUCAAGUCAAUUUGAAGUUGUGUGACCCUUAUAUUGGAGUUUUCUUUCACCCAGUUCUUAACUGCAUCUGCAAUCCAUCUGCACUUUGCUGAUCUCAACCUUUGUCUUCUUGUCACACUUGGGCAUGUGUGAGGAUUUCUGUUUACUUUGACCUGCAGUUAAACAUUGUAACAAGGAUCAGAAUCAUAAACAACAUAUCAAUCAUAAGGAACAUGCACAGUUAACUGUUAGUGUACCUGAAAUAGUUUGGUAUUUUUCAGAAAGGAUGCAUGCAUCCUCCACUUACACCUUUUAUAUGCACAAUGUAUUGUUAGCCUACCAAGCUCACUCUUGUCAAUUUUGAAUUCACUCUGAGUCUUGAUUGCAUAAGUGGCUAAUGCAUUUCUGCACUCUACAACAUUAGAGAAUAUAGUUCCUUCUACAAGAGAAGGAUCAUCUCUGUUAAAAUGCACAUCUGGCCUGGCCUCAUCAGAACUCUCAGAAUAACCCAUGUCAUUGUCCUCCUCUCUCUCAUCUGAAUAUGUCUCAGCAAACUCUGGAGGGGAAAUGUAAUCAUCUUGUUGAGCUGCUUCCUUCCCCUUUGGCUUCUUCCCUAUUACAAAUCCAGGAUGCAUUAAUUCAUCAUCAUCAUCUGUUGGUACAUCAUCAGGUUGUUCCUCUUCUAUGAUUGGAUCAGCAUCUGGUUGCUUGCUACUGCUAGGACCUGGUUCAUGCACAACACUAGUUUCUGAAUUUCUUCUUCCACCUGAACUACCUCUGCCACCUGAAUUCCUUCUUGCACCUGAACUACCUCUGCCACCUGAAUUCUCUCUUGCACCUGAACUACCUCUGCCACCUGAACUCCCUCUUCCUCUUGUUUGACUGCACCUAGCUUGAGAACUGUGAGCUUGAGAUCUAGUUCCUCUCCUCUCAGUCUCUCCUCUAAGCCUUUGUAUCACAUUAAUUUCUAAAUCUACUGUCUUAGUUUCAGCAUUGGUUGCAAACAUAAUUCCCAAUUCAUCAUCAGACUGCACUGGCACCCAAUUAGUAUUUCCCAUGUCCCAAUACCUAAAUUCUACAGCAUCAUAGAGGCCCCAUGGAUAUUUAUCUGAGAUUGCAGAUCUAAACUUCACAAAUGUUGAUGUGCAAUCAACUACAAGACGAAAAUUAAACCCUGUGCCAGAUCCUUUUGUACCAGAAGUGCCUAACACGACGGUUUCCAUCCUACAGUUGAGAUAGAAAGCUCUAGCUGGAUCCAUCCUACGGUAAAUGUUGAGAAAAAUUAGAGGAAGGCAAAGACAGUGAGCAUGGCAAUUGUGCGAGUAACCUAAUGGAGACACUUACCCCGUUGGAACAGUUGGUGUGGUCGCCGCUGUGGUCUGAGAGCUCUCAGCUCUACCGCUGCCGGCGCCACUUCCACGAACGACAGCUAUCCGCGAAAUCCCUCGGUGAAGAGGAGCGGCGGGUCAGAUCCAGCCGCCGCGCAUCUCAAUCCCCAUGCUAUCCCUCCACGGCGGCCGACGGCGAACCAAAUCGUGGGCGGGCUAGGGUUAGGGUUCAAGUCUCCAGAGAGAAGAGAAGAGAUGAGAGGAGAGGAUAUCUGUGAGUGAGUGACUCUGUCCGAAGGGCCCCACAUGUAAGUACUAGGGGUAAAUUGUCCAAAAUGUGUCUCCUGCUACAGAUGGUUUCUCUGACUCCAAUGUGCUUGGCAGAGGAGGCUUUGGCGUAGUAUACAAGGUAAUAUAAAUGUCACCUUAACGAUUACAGUAGUGAAAGGCAUUCUUUCAUUGUUAAUAUGAAUUAUGUAACCAUGUAGGGCACACUGGAAGGUGGCAAGGAAGUUGCUGUUAAAAGGCUUAUCAAGUGUUCUGAUCAAGGAAUGGAGCAUUUUAGAAACGAAGUAGUUCUUAUUGCAAAACUGUAGCACAGAAACUUAGUUAGACUUCUUGGUUAUUGCAUCCAUGGAGCUGAGAAGGUUCUUAUUUACGUAUACUUACCCAACAAAAGCUUAGACUACUCCCUAUUUGGUAUGUCCUAAUCAUGUAUAAUGAUUCUUGCGUUGAGCAAAGGAGCAUUCCAGAUUUUGAGACUAAUAUGGCUUCACAUGAUUUAUUUCCGGCAUGCAGAUGAUGCUAAAAGAUUUAUGCUUGAUUGGCCAACAAGGUUUAGCAUAAUCAAAGGGAUAGCUAGAGGACUUGUGUACCUCCACCAUGAUUCGAGAAUGACGAUAAUUCACAGAGAUCUCAAAGCAAGCAACAUCUUGUUGGAUGUGGAGAUGAGACCCAAAAUAUCAGAUUUUGGCAUGGCAAGGAUCUUUGGUGACAACCAGCAACAAGCAGAUACUAGACAUGUU
This 6749-nucleotide long non-coding RNA is filed under the name Triticum aestivum (bread wheat). RNAcentral describes it as "long non-coding RNA (TAES_LNC021513)". The record is from RNAcentral. Lineage: Eukaryota; Viridiplantae; Streptophyta; Magnoliopsida; Poales; Poaceae.